Molecule: long non-coding RNA, 1135 nt
Filed under: Sus scrofa (pig)
Lineage: Eukaryota; Metazoa; Chordata; Mammalia; Artiodactyla; Suidae
Description: lncRNA (ENSSSCG00035032904.1)
Source: RNAcentral
AAAUAGCAAAAAUAUAAUUCCUGGAUUGUUGAUCAUAGAAUGAGAAGUUCACAAAUGAUGUUUUCAGUUUAUGUAAGUAUAGUCAAGCUUUUAACUGCCAUUAGGAAAAUGUUGUACCUGGUAAGUCUGCAAUUAGUAUUGUCUUACUAAAUAUAAUUUAUUCAUUAUCAUCAUUAUCCCCAGAUUAAAGAUUCCUACUUGAUUUCUCACCCUACAUAAUGCUUAGACCUAUAAAAAUAUAUUAGAUGCAAGUUCAUUAGAAUUGAGGCUCUGUAUAUAAAUAUAUCUUGAGUAGUGUAAUAACAGCAAACAAUUAAUUAAAAAUUCCCUUUAACUGUUUGACCAGGACCCAAGAGCUUUUCCUUCCUUCUUUCUUUUCUUCUUCCUUUCAGAUGGAUUAUUUAGCUAGUUACUGUUAUUGUAAUUUGGAUGUCUAAAGGAAAUAACUGAGAUUAUUAUAUAGCUAGUCAGAGGUUUGUUUUUUAUUUGGGGGGAGCAGGAAGGGGGUUGAUUUCUUUUGUGACCAAGAAAAACUGCUGCUUAGAAUCAAGGUUAACCUUACUUUUCUAUACCUUAUGUUACAAGUGAAGGAAGAUAAAUUAUGGUUUUGUGCUCUCCAUCGCUACCUCAAAACAGAUUUCAUUCAGAACCAAUAAUGGUUUAUAUGUAUGUAAGUAUUUACAUAUUUGCUUGAUUAAUUUAUUUCUCUGAUACUAGGUUGCAAGCUUUUUUUCUUUCUUUCAUUUCUUUAUUGUCUUUUUAGGGCUGUACCCACAGCAUAUCUAAGUUCCCAGACUAGGGGUUGCAAGAUUUCUGAUGAACUCUUAUAUGGCUCAGCUCUGGUGUGAUGGCCCAAUGCCUAGCACAGACCUAUGUGCCAGCAAUUUCUCUUGCUCUGGAGUGGUGGAGAGGAACACGUCACCAGCAGAGAACACUGUCAUAAAUUAUUAUCUGGGGAACUUCAGUUGUUUUGGUCUUACAUAGUUAUUAUCCAUGAUGUAUUAGUCACAUUUCAAAAUAAAUAUCUUAAGGUUCAAAAUUUGCUAUAAAUUAAGUCACAAUUACAUAUACUUAUGAAUAUAAAUAAUUUAUAAUAUAUAAAUAAAAAUCAUUUAUGAAUGAUGUAGAUAUCUCA